AGGACGAACGCUGGCGGCGUGCUUAACACAUGCAAGUCGAGCGGAAAGGCCCUUCGGGGUACUCGAGCGGCGAACGGGUGAGUAACACGUGAGUAAUCUGCCCCUAGCUCUGGGGAUAGCUCCGGGAAACCGGGAUUAAUACCAGAUACGACCACUUUAGACAUCUGCUGUGGUGGAAAGAAUUUCGGCUAGGGAUGAGCUCGCGGCCUAUCAGCUUGUUGGUGAGGUAACGGCUCACCAAGGCGACGACGGGUA
Molecule: ribosomal RNA, 255 nt
Filed under: uncultured bacterium
Lineage: Bacteria
Description: partial small subunit ribosomal RNA
Rfam family: Bacterial small subunit ribosomal RNA
Source: RNAcentral